Pelobates cultripes (western spadefoot toad) is the source of this 287-nucleotide non-coding RNA. The record is from the annotation of a GenBank genome assembly. Lineage: Eukaryota; Metazoa; Chordata; Amphibia; Anura; Pelobatidae.
CAGCACUAGCCCCAAGACAGCAGAACAAGGCACGGCAAAGGAAGAAGGGGAAUCUGAAGAUCGUAAUAAAGAAUUGGACUUGCUUGAGUGGAAUCCAAGAGACAAGAAGCAUGGACAUUCUUGCCUACCCUUUUAUAACCUCUGUAGCAAUAACUCAGACUGUUUAACAUACCCAGCAAAUUCUUAUAGCGAUUACAUUCCUUGUCCUUAGCAAGAUUUGCAGUCAUGGUGCAUGCCACACAUAAUGUGUCAUGAGCAUCCUAGAUAGUGAGUGGGGAAGAGUAUGG